UAAUUUUGUAAAAUUUGAUCAGUCCGUUUUUGCGGCCUGAAAUGAUGCUGAGCGCCUGUUGUUUCGGUUCACGGUCUACUGCAGGACCUCGGUUGCUCUGAUUUGUUCGGGUACGCGUCAAGAUGGAUUUGGUUUCUAGUUGCAAGGACAAGUUGGCAUAUUUCCGGAUAAAAGAGCUUAAAGAUGUUCUCAGUCAGCUAGGUCUUGCAAAGCAAGGGAAGAAGCAGGAUCUUGUGGACAGAAUUUUGGCUGUGCUGUCUGAUGACCAAGGUAACAACUUGGAUUCACUAUUAACCUUUCAACUUUUGUGGA
Non-coding RNA from Nelumbo nucifera (sacred lotus), 312 nucleotides. NCBI's taxonomy places the organism in Eukaryota, Viridiplantae, Streptophyta, Magnoliopsida, Proteales, Nelumbonaceae. The record is from RefSeq and is a predicted model, not a curated record.